This 220-nucleotide long non-coding RNA is filed under the name Elaeis guineensis (African oil palm). RNAcentral describes it as "long non-coding RNA (EGUI_LNC072604)". The record is from RNAcentral. Lineage: Eukaryota; Viridiplantae; Streptophyta; Magnoliopsida; Arecales; Arecaceae.
GGUUGGUUGUUCUCUUCACCAAGGAAUGUGGUGACACUGGUAUGGCAUACAGAUGAGAUGCAGGAGUACAUUAUCAUUGAACAAGUGACUCACCUGCUGAGCAUUCUACUGUCAAGAGCUGCUCGCGAAGCACAUGAAUAUAAGUAUCCUUCAGAUUUGAGAUCACCAUAGUGACUUGCAAGCAACUCACUGUACUUUGGUGUCAGACUAUCUAGAUUUC